RNAcentral lists this ribosomal RNA (250 nucleotides) under uncultured bacterium. RNAcentral describes it as "partial 16S ribosomal RNA". It matches the Rfam family "Bacterial small subunit ribosomal RNA", at positions 524 to 773 of the family's 1533-position model. The record is from RNAcentral.
GACGAACCGUCCAAACGUUAUUCGGAAUUACUGGGCUUAAAGGGUGCGUAGGCGGCGCGGUAAGUUGGGUGUGAAAUCCCUCGGCUCAACCGAGGAAUAGCGCCCAAAACUACCGUGCUCGAGGGAGACAGAGGUGAGCGGAACUGAUGGUGGAGCGGUGAAAUGCGUUGAUAUCAUCAGGAACACCGGUGGCGAAAGCGGCUCACUGGGUCUCUUCUGACGCUGAGGCACGAAAGCUAGGGGAGCGAAC